GACCCAGACGGUUGUCCAUAAGCUGGAGGUCCAGAUGGCUUCCCAUAGGAUCCAGGAGCAGGUGGUUGACCAUAAUUUCCAGGUGCAGGCGGUUGACCGUAAUUUCCAGGUGCAGGUGGUUGACCAUAAUUUCCAGGUGCAGGCGGUUGACCAUAAUUUCCAGGUGCUGAAGGGCCACCAGGCCUGAGAUCUCCUUCCUGUCCUUGCGAGAAACUCCUGCGCUCUUGUGGAUCUUGGAAACCUUGACCGGCUUCAUUUACACG
Molecule: long non-coding RNA, 263 nt
Filed under: Triticum aestivum (bread wheat)
Lineage: Eukaryota; Viridiplantae; Streptophyta; Magnoliopsida; Poales; Poaceae
Description: long non-coding RNA (TAES_LNC004180)
Source: RNAcentral